GGGGUUGUGGCUCAGUGGUAGAGUAUUUGCCUAGCAUGCAUAAGGCACUGGGUUCAAUCCCCAGCAGCACAU
This 72-nucleotide transfer RNA is filed under the name Marmota marmota marmota (Alpine marmot). It matches the Rfam family "tRNA". From Rfam's summary of the family: Transfer RNA (tRNA) molecules are approximately 80 nucleotides in length. Their secondary structure includes four short double-helical elements and three loops (D, anti-codon, and T loops). The record is from Rfam by way of RNAcentral. RNAcentral also lists the same sequence under 1 other name. Lineage: Eukaryota; Metazoa; Chordata; Mammalia; Rodentia; Sciuridae.